CCCCGCUGAAGUCUCCCCCUUUUGCACCAGUCAAGUGAUGUUAUCCCUUGCAUGACACACUCCCAAGUUAAUCACAGGGUGCAGGUAUGCACCUGGGGGAAAAGAAAACAGCGAUUAUAUCUUUGAAAGCAAACAGGAGAGGUUUAUUUUUAAACACAGAUGAAGGAGGGUUGCUCGCCUGGCCCAGUCACGCUGACUGCUAGGAGUCCAGACCGCUGGAAAUAGGAACAAAUGUCAAGCCAAAAACUGCACAGGCUUCCUCCAAAUUCCAGAUCAGAACUGGAAACCUCUUUCAUCCCGAGGGCCACAUUUCCCUCUGGGGAGUUUUUCAGGGGCCGCAUGUCCGAGGUGGGCAGGGCCAGAGGGAAAAGUGGGGGGAGCAACAACUGUGAACGUAAUCUGUGUAGAGUAGGCAGGUUUCUACAGCCACUCACAUAUCCCCUUUUCCAACCACGGUUGGAGUUCAGGGAUGGAUUCUGACCAGGCCAAAAGCACUCCAGGAGGGUGUCCAGGGGCCAAAGAGAAGAGCCUGCAGAGGCACACUCGGUCUGAGGUUUCCCACUUCAGUUCUUGAAGCAACAGUUGGUCUUUGAUGACUCUCUGUUGCACCACCAGCAAAACAGGCCAACGAAAAGAGAUCCUGAUUUAUUUAUUUCCAAGUGAAGAGCCUGAUGGGGUGUAUUUGUUUCGGCAGGGGGAGAAGGCAGACUUGAAGAAGUCUGAAGAUGCUUCCAAACCUCGGCUUCUCCUCAAAUUGCAAAUAAACAGGAAAUUCUAAGGAGUUGGUUCCCAUGGUUUGCUGGGCUUAACCCCCCCACUUGCUGAUCAUUUCUUCCCACACUUCCCGGAGGCGAAUGACCUAAACCUCUGAAAAUGCAAGGCAAAACUCUGGCCUCUCCUUCCCUUAUUUGGGAGCGAUUCGCAUUUAUCCGGCUUCAUCCGAAAGUCUCUUUCAGCCUCUGGCGACCGAAAGGAGAACUGCAACGGCCGUCCCAUCUGACGUUCUAUUGGAUCUUAUUUUUAAACCGGUAUUUUGGUGGGGAAAGGGGCCUUCGGACGGUUGGCCCGAUUGUUACUGGCAUGUCACAAGGGACUACAUUUGUGGUCGUUUAGGAUAUUUUAAAAAAAAGAUUCGGUAGGUUUAGAAUAUAAUCCAUACUUUAGAGUGGCUGGGGGGGGUGUCCUUAGCUUUUGCCUGAUCCAGCUAUGGGUCUCUUCUGCUGUACAUAUGGAACCUCCAGGUCCAGAGGCAGUCUACCUAAAUCUCUAGGUUCUUAAAGGAAUUUGGCCUUGGUGAGAACACGGCAAGUCCCCUUUGGCCUGAUCCACCAAGGUUUCUUAGAUCCUUCUUAUGUCCUUCCGAUAGGGCUGGGAGAGACCGCCAGCCAAAACCCUGGAAGGCCACUGCUGCCAGUCAGUGUAGACCAGCUAGAUGGACCAAUGCCCCCAACUCAGUAGGAGGGAGCUGAUAACUAAUCCAUUGCAACUGCAAUCCGCAACUGCUUCCUAUGUUCCUAUCUUAAGUCAACAGCUUUCUUCAGAACAUGAGGACUAGCGUUUUUAAUUUUUAACUGCCCUGUGAUCUUUGAAGAAAGGGUGGUGCAGAAAUUUAAAAAGGAAAUAAAAAGGUAAAGGUAAAGGGACCCCUGACCAUUAGGUCCAGUCGUGACCGACUCUGGGGUUGCGUGCUCAUCUCGCUUUAUUGGCCGAGGGAGCCGGCGUACAGCUUCCAGGUCAUGUGGCCAGCAUGACUAAGCCGCUUCUGGCAAACCAGAGCAGUGCAC
This 1784-nucleotide long non-coding RNA is filed under the name Podarcis lilfordi (Lilford's wall lizard). Lineage: Eukaryota; Metazoa; Chordata; Lepidosauria; Squamata; Lacertidae. The record is from RNAcentral.